CCGUGAAGACUUUUAAAAUAGAGACCAACGUGGCCGGGCAGGAAGAGCAGGGUCCCGCCUUCAGGUGUUUGGGACUCAGCUGAGGGUGUGGGUGCCCCGCGGUGGGGGCUGAACCUUCCUGGGGUGUGGAGAGACGAAAGGAGCCCAGAUCCAAGUUCCCUCGUUCCCGCUUUGGCAUAAGUUGCCCUGGCGGUCUCAUGAGAGAGAGAAAGAGCUGGGACCCUCCUCGCCCCAGUGAGUGUGAUGUCUUGCUCCGGGUGUCCUGGGGCAACUUUCUAUACAGGCGGGACGUGGGAGGAUCAGACAGUGUAACAUCAGACAAGGGUGUUGACUCUGCAGCACAGAACCAGUAGUUUGUGGAGAAGAAUGGAGGUGUGGUGUUGAAUCUGCUAGACAGGCUACUGAAGCAAAAGUCAAGAGAUCCAGAUUCCAUCAUGGGGACACUUUAGUUCUUCAUCGGGUAAUUGAGCUGAUAUCAGGUGUCUGAAGGAGGCAAGUUUUGAAGAUGUGGGUCAUGAUGGCUGCUGAAGCUUCCACUCCAUAUUUGAAGGUCAGCAGUUCUCAGGAAACCUCUAGCACUUCCAUCCCUGGUGGGAUGUGAUGCCUGUCUCAGUGUGACAUGCAUAAAGGAAUUUCUUAUUGAGCCCCAGGAAGAAGAAACACUACAUAAGAGCAAAUAAUAAAAUCGGUCAGAUAGACAGAAGAUGGGAGUCAUCAAACCUGUAUCCCUCUUGCCAGACCUAUCAACUGACCAUACGUCAUUCAGGAGGCAGCAGGUGGCUGAAAUCCUGGUGUGAUGUGGCUGGAUCAUGCAUGAUCUGAGGACUCCUGCACAGGGCACAAUUAUUUUAUCUUGGAACCAACAAUCUUCGGAGAAUGUAUCCCAAAGAUACAAUUCAAAAAGAUAAAAAGGCAGAAGCACAAGGUCAUUCUUGGCAGAACAAAUUGUAACAGCAGAAGACUGGAAAUAAGACAGAUGUCCACCAAUAAAGGACUGACUGAAUAAUCUAAGGUGCAUCUACAUCCUAGAUUUCAAUGCCGGUAUAACAAGCAAGGAAGAUUCCCUCUCUCUGCUGCUAUGUAGUGAUUUCCAGGAUAUACCAUUAAGUGAAUAAAGCAAAGUGCAGAAAAAUGUGUAGAGCUGCUGUUGUCCCAUACCAUACCCACUGGCCACUCAUGGCUAUUUAAGUUAACUAAAUUUAAAUGGAAUUUUAAAUUCACUUCCUCAGUCACACUCACCACAUUUUAGGUGUUUAAUAGUCACAG
This 1266-nucleotide long non-coding RNA is filed under the name Homo sapiens (human). RNAcentral describes it as "HSALNT0284959". The record is from RNAcentral. Lineage: Eukaryota; Metazoa; Chordata; Mammalia; Primates; Hominidae.